GGCCUAUCAGCUUGUUGGUGGGUAAUGGCUUCCAAGGCGGCGACGGUAGCCGGCUUGAGAGGGUGGACGGCCACUUUGGGGACUGAAGACACGGCCCUGACUCCUACGGGAGGCAGCAGUGCGGAAUAUUGCACAAUGGGCGCAAGCCUGAUGCAGUGACGCCGCGUGGGGGAUGACGGCCUUCGGGUCUGUAAACUCCUUUCGCCCGGGAAGAAGCCCACAUGGUGGGUGACGGUACCGUGGAGAAGAAGCACCGGCUAGCUACGUGCCAGCAGCCGCGGUAAUACGUAGGGUGCAAGCGUUGUCCGGAUUUACUGGGCGUAAAGAGCUCGUAGGUGGUGUGUCGCGUCGUCUGUGAAAUUCCGGGGCUUAACUCCGGGCGUGCAGGCGAUACGGGCACGACUAGAGUGCUCUAGGGGUAACUGGAAUUCCUGGUGUAGCGGUGAAAUGCGCAGAUAUCAGGAGGAACACCGAUGGCGAAGGCAGUGUUACUGGGCAGUUACUGACGCUGAGGAGCGAAAGCAUGGGGAGCGACCAGGAUUAGAUACCUCUGGUAGUCCAUGCUGUAAACGGUGGGCGCUAGGUGUGGGCCGUGUGCUCGCAGUCUGUGCCGUAGCUAACGCAUUAAGCGCCCCGCCUGGGGAGUACGG
This 650-nucleotide ribosomal RNA is filed under the name uncultured Corynebacterium sp. RNAcentral's name for it is "bacterial SSU rRNA". It matches the Rfam family "Bacterial small subunit ribosomal RNA", at positions 235 to 885 of the family's 1533-position model. Lineage: Bacteria; Bacillati; Actinomycetota; Actinomycetes; Mycobacteriales; Corynebacteriaceae. The record is from RNAcentral.